CACUGCCAUAGAUGUAGGAUAGUUAUCGCCAAGGAGAAUUAAAGGGCUUAUAGUAUGUGGCCGAAUAUUUUGGAAUUUUAUUGUGGAAUAUUUAUGUAAUGACGACUAAAUGUUUCAGUACACCACAGAAGAAAAAAAAAAGCUCCUGCUUACCAAACGCAUCCUAAACAUGAAACAGAGAGAGGGAAAAAAAGGAAAAAAAAUAUAGGGGAAAAAAAAGAUGGGUAUUCCUUAAAUACUUAAAUAGUGUAUGUGUUCGCCUCACAGUUUCGUGGCGACGGCUUGUGUACACUUCACAUUUGUAGAUUUGCAUGUUUACUUGGGGAGAUCAACUAAACGACAAUAUUUAAUCUUCUCGAUUUUUUAUUACAAGUAACUAUUUACCUAAUGUUCAUAUCAGUGCAAAAAAAAAUUGUAGAUAAAGACGAAGCCAGAGCCAAAAACAUCGAUUACCAUUCUCAUCUGUCAAAAUAUACAACACAUAUUCCCUCACAAAACUAUGAAAAAAACACCUAAUAAAAUACAAAAAGUAUAACAAUCUACAAUAAUAAGUGACAAGACGUCCUGAAACAUUGUAAAUAAAACAAAUAUUUAAACCGCCAGCCAUUGUCCAUUUUGUCACAGGGAGUGGCAGUGAAGGCGGACCCAGAUUUUUGUGUGUUUUCUGUGUACCCACGCCUACCAAGUACUCAUCAGGGUCCCCAUAUGACUUAAACCUCCCCUGGUUGGUGAUACAGAAGGCGAAGUGACUGCCACAGACUCCAGGAUGAAAGACUGAAAUACAAGCUGACCUGAACCAGAGGGAGAGAAAGCUACUAUACGGUGAGUACAGCAGUGAUAUCUGUGAGUCAACGUCACUGGUUCGCAUAACAACACGCAUCAAGGCACAGAAAGGUGAGGACAAGUUGCUGUUCUCACGCAUCAAGGCACAGAAAGGUGAGGACAAGUUGCUGUUCUCACGCAUCAAGGCACAGAAAGGGAAGUUGUCCUCAAACUUUGGAGGGAAGAGCAGCUCCUCCUUGAGCCGCGUCAUGACGGCCAGGCGCUCCAUGCCCGUCCCAAAGGGCACCAGCAUCUCAAAGAACACCAGGCCCAAGGAAUGACUGAGAAGAAAGGAAGGAAGGAAGAAAAGGGAGGAGAAUACAAGAAGGAAGGAAGGAAGGAAGAGGAGGACUAGGAGGAAGGAAGGAAGGAAGAGAAGAGGACAAGAAGGAAGAAAGGAAGAGAAAAGGAGGACUCUCUCUCUCUCUCUCUCUCUCUCUCUCUCUCUCUCUCUCUCUCUCUCUCUCUCUCUCUCUCUCUCUCACAGACCCACAGGAUGUCCCCCCACAGUAUGUUGACAAACCCCACAGUCACUCCCCCCCAGCCUCUCUCUCUCUCUCUCUCUCUCUCUCUCUCUCUCUCUCUCUCUCUCUCUCUCUCUCUCUCUCUCUCUCUCUCUCUCUCACCUACCUUCAUGCCCAGAAUAUGAACCCUGUCCGUGCCUGUCAGGAACUUCAAAAACCACUUCUUCUGCUCCAGGGAGAGUUUGUGAAAUACUUCCCAGAAUGUGCGUAUGACCGGGUGGUCUGGGAAAUAUUCGCCCUGGAAACACCGACAGAAAUCAAUAAACGGAAGGAUAUUAGUGUGAA
Long non-coding RNA from Scylla paramamosain (green mud crab), 1631 nucleotides. RefSeq lists it as uncharacterized. NCBI's taxonomy places the organism in Eukaryota, Metazoa, Arthropoda, Malacostraca, Decapoda, Portunidae. The record is from RefSeq and is a predicted model, not a curated record. The transcript has 4 exons.